CAUGAACCGGUGUCAGUUGGUUAACAUCAACAAGAUGCCAGUGAUUGUGUUAAACGGGAAAUCAGUGUGAUGCUGAUGCUGCCCCCGCAACGGUAAUCUCAAUACUCAACGAGUAUGUCUUUUCAAACGCCACUGUCUAUAACGUAAGUGCUAUGCUUGCUGAUUAGAUGGGAAGGCAAAAGAGUUACAGCUCCUCAGAUAUUUUUUUAUGCUAGUGAUUUUAUUAGUUUGAUUAAAGAUAUUUGAUUUCAAUUAUGUGAGCGACUAACGAGAGAGCCCGGAUACCGGCCUGUGCUUCACGGCUUAG
This 307-nucleotide non-coding RNA is filed under the name Alteromonas sp. The record is from RNAcentral. Lineage: Bacteria; Pseudomonadati; Pseudomonadota; Gammaproteobacteria; Alteromonadales; Alteromonadaceae.